RNAcentral lists this ribosomal RNA (435 nucleotides) under uncultured bacterium. RNAcentral describes it as "partial 16S ribosomal RNA". It matches the Rfam family "Bacterial small subunit ribosomal RNA", at positions 29 to 507 of the family's 1533-position model. The record is from RNAcentral.
AACGAACGCUGGCGGCAGGCUUAACACAUGCAAGUCGAACGCAUGCCUUCGGGCAUGAGUGGCAGACGGGUGAGUAACGCGUGGGAACCUACCCCUUGGUACGGGAUAGCUCCGGGAAACUGGAGAUAAUACCGUAUGUGUCCUGAGGGACAAAGAUUCAUCGCCAAGGGAUGGGCGCGCGUCGGAUUAGCGAGUUGGUGGGGUAACGGCCUACCAAGGCGACGAUCCGUAGCUGGUCUAAGAGGCUGAUCAGCCACAUUGGGACUGAGACACGGCCCAAACUCCUACGGGAGGCAGCAGUGGGGAAUAUUGGACAAUGGGCGCAAGCCUGAUCCAGCCAUGCCGCGUGAGUGAUGAAGGCCCUAGGGUUGUAAAGCUCUUUCACCGGUGACGAUAAUGACGGUAACCGGAGAAGAAGCCCCGGCUAACUUCGUG